Molecule: ribosomal RNA, 402 nt
Filed under: uncultured bacterium
Lineage: Bacteria
Description: bacterial SSU rRNA
Rfam family: Bacterial small subunit ribosomal RNA
Source: RNAcentral
AGGGAAUCUUCGGCAAUGGACGAAAGUCUGACCCAGCAACGCCGCGUGAAGGAAGAAGGCUUUCGGGUUGUAAACUUCUUUUAACAGGGAAGAGAAGAAGACGGUACCUGUUGAAUAAGCCACGGCUAACUACGUGCCAGCAGCCGCGGUAAUACGUAGGUGGCAAGCGUUGUCCGGAUUUACUGGGUGUAAAGGGCGUGUAGCCGGGAAGGCAAGUCAGAUGUGAAAUCUGGAGGCUCAACCACCAAACUGCAUUUGAAACUGCUUGUCUUGAGUAUCGGAGAGGUAAUCGGAAUUCCUUGUGUAGCGGUGAAAUGCGUAGAUAUAAGGAAGAACACCAGUGGCGAAGGCGGAUUACUGGACGACAACUGACGGUGAGGCGCGAAAGCGUGGGGAGCAAAC